AUAGUUAUUAAUCUUGGUUGGU
This 22-nucleotide microRNA is filed under the name Plutella xylostella (diamondback moth). Its description in RNAcentral is "pxy-miR-8538". The record is from miRBase by way of RNAcentral. Lineage: Eukaryota; Metazoa; Arthropoda; Insecta; Lepidoptera; Plutellidae.